GUGUGUAGUUAUAUAACAUAUAUACUAAAAUUAAAAUAAUAAAGAAAAUUAGCAUGACCCCUGUGCAAGGAUGACAUGAAAAUUCAUGAAGCAUUCCCUAUUUUU
RNAcentral lists this small nuclear RNA (105 nucleotides) under Notamacropus eugenii (tammar wallaby). The record is from RNAcentral. Lineage: Eukaryota; Metazoa; Chordata; Mammalia; Diprotodontia; Macropodidae.